Molecule: ribosomal RNA, 462 nt
Filed under: Triticum aestivum (bread wheat)
Lineage: Eukaryota; Viridiplantae; Streptophyta; Magnoliopsida; Poales; Poaceae
Description: partial small subunit ribosomal RNA
Source: RNAcentral
AUGUCACAGUCUCGUGAUGCAGCCGUCCGGGCCGAGGGUCUCCGCAGCGGCGGCGGCGGCGGCUUCAGCUGGGUCUUCGUCGCUGUGGUGUUCGUCUUGCUCACCUUCAACUCCGUCACAGCGGUGUACCACUCCAAGGGCGACCCGGCCAUCGUCGCCUUCGUCGCCACCUCCUACGCCGACCUGGUUCUGCUCUUCUGCAGCCUCUGGCUCUAUAACAGAGCGGCUGCAGGGUCGGCGUGGCGGAACCGGCUCAAGGCGUCGGUGUGGACUCUCACCACGCUGCUCACCUUCUCCUUCGCCUACAUGGUCAUGGGCACGGCUGAGCUAACCCUCCCCGUCGCGCUGCUCGUUUGGUUCAUCGCGGCGGCCACCGGGAUCGGCGCCUUUUCUGCCUUCUUCGAGCAGGGCAGCAGAACCAAUCCAUCACCGCAUGAAACCAUCCUGCUGCCACCGGCGUAG